Molecule: ribosomal RNA, 397 nt
Filed under: uncultured bacterium
Lineage: Bacteria
Description: partial 16S ribosomal RNA
Rfam family: Bacterial small subunit ribosomal RNA
Source: RNAcentral
AAUAUUGCACAAUGGGGGAAACCCUGAUGCUGCGGCUCCGCGUGAUCGAAGAAGUCCUUCGGGUCGUAAAGCUCUGUCCUAAGGGAAGAAACGGACGGUACCAUAGGAGGAAGCCCCGGCUAACUACUUGCCAGCUGUCGCGGUAAUACGUAGGGGGCAAGCGUUGUUCGGAAUUAUUGGGCGUAAAGGGUGCGUAGGCGGCUUUUUAAGUCAGAUGUGAAAGACCACGGCUUAACCGUGGGGUUGCAUUUGAAACUGGAAGGCUUGAGUAUCGGAGAGGGUAGUGGAAUUCCCAGUGUAGCGGUGAAAUGCGUAGAUAUUGGGAGGAACACCAGUGGCGAAGGCGACUACCUGGACGAAAACUGACGCUGAUGCACGAAAGCUAGGGGAGCAAACA